Molecule: long non-coding RNA, 351 nt
Filed under: Pongo abelii (Sumatran orangutan)
Lineage: Eukaryota; Metazoa; Chordata; Mammalia; Primates; Hominidae
Description: lincRNA
Source: RNAcentral
GGUGAGAAAACUGUUAUCCAAAUAAGAAAGCUGUUUACCUAGAUGAGAAAAUUGGUUGCUUGGUUAAACUGGUUUAUACAAAUAUACUAAAGCAAACAGUGAAGCAAGAGUAACAGCAGUGGUGGCAGCAUCUGGAUCCUUGAUUGACAGCAUUAUGGAAAGUUACUGGCCAGAUACUCCUUACUUAAGUUGGCACCAAUCGACUUGCCUGGGGAUCAGUCAAACGGGGUGAGGCGAGGGGAACUUCAGGAGAUCCUUCCCAGAUGGAUGCCAAACUCCUUUGAUAGCCCUGUCAUUGUCCAAAAUUUCUUCAAGUUUAUGUGUAUAAGAAUAAAAUCUUGUUCAAGUUUA